CCUGGACCAUUCGUUCCCUGCCCCUCUCCCCUUCACUAGCAGAGCACUGCUCCCUGCCAUGGGCACAGCUAGCUCAAGGAGAUGAUCCAGUGGAAAAGUAAGGGUAUCUUUUUGCUGACUUUCAUUUGGAUUUGCUCCAUGCUCUGGCUGUCUGCAUGGCUGUGCAAGAGCUGGUUCUGGUGCAAAGCAGAGGACACAAGCAUGUGGGAAGGAGCAGAGGGCAGACAGAGAGGGACCUUUCCUUGGUCCAUGGCAACUGGAUGGUUGUGGAAUUCUUAUGAUCUGGGCCAGCUGUCCACAAAAAGGCAACAAAAACACCCAAGAUUUCUCUAUGCCACCUGUCUCCAUAAGAGAGCUGAAGAACUGAACUGUUAACCCAGUGUAAUCAGAAGACUAAAACUUCUUUGGAUUCUGGAGACAAAAAGCAACUUCGCUAUGAGGUCAAAUGACGUGAAAAGACUGAAUGUAUCUAGAAAGAGUGAUUGAUCAAUAGUUUCAUGAAUGGUUAUGCCAAACUAUAUCUGCACUUUUGCUGAAAAGGGAAAUCCCGACAUCUUUUUGUCUCUUAAUAUAUUUUGCUACCUGUUCCCUAGUGCUGGCACCAGUGCUUGCAUGGCAAUGCAGUCAUCUGGAUGAAGGAGCUGCUCCAGAUAAAAAAUAUCACUAUGUAAAAAAAAAAGUAUUUGUCUUCAGUGGCAUAUUAAGUCAUAUUAAACUGAUG
This 721-nucleotide long non-coding RNA is filed under the name Dromaius novaehollandiae (emu). RNAcentral's name for it is "lncRNA (ENSDNVG00000002489.1)". The record is from RNAcentral. Lineage: Eukaryota; Metazoa; Chordata; Aves; Casuariiformes; Dromaiidae.